Non-coding RNA from Nicotiana sylvestris (wood tobacco), 128 nucleotides. The record is from Rfam. Lineage: Eukaryota; Viridiplantae; Streptophyta; Magnoliopsida; Solanales; Solanaceae.
UAGACAAUUAUUGUAUUCGACUGUAUUCACGAUAUGUAUUUGUGAAUACAGUAACGUAAAUAGCGCAAAUCGUGGUUUAUUCAGUUGUUUUUAAAUGGAAAGUGAAUCAAUUAACACAAUAGACUCCU